Molecule: long non-coding RNA, 302 nt
Filed under: Ananas comosus (pineapple)
Lineage: Eukaryota; Viridiplantae; Streptophyta; Magnoliopsida; Poales; Bromeliaceae
Description: long non-coding RNA (ACOM_LNC027920)
Source: RNAcentral
GGGACCGGUCUCCCCGACCUGGGACCGGUCUCUCAUCCUGCCCCGAAAAUCCAACGUUCGUGAACCGGUCUCUCCCCGCAUGGGACCGGUCUCUCCCCGCGUAAUCGCGCUCGGGGACCGGUCUCACCCGCCAGGGACCGGUUGCCUCAAGUCCACCGCAACAUUGUUCUGAGGGGACCGGUCUCUCCUAUCAGGGACCGGUCCCCGAGAGUAACAACUCUCAGGACUUGCCAAAACUCUAGAGAUCGAACUUUUAGGCCGAAAUACCAUCUACGACCUUCCACCAAGUGUAGAAAAGUUUG